Molecule: ribosomal RNA, 468 nt
Filed under: uncultured bacterium
Lineage: Bacteria
Description: partial 16S ribosomal RNA
Rfam family: Bacterial small subunit ribosomal RNA
Source: RNAcentral
GACGAACGCUGGCGGCGUGCUUAACACAUGCAAGUCGAACGGAAAGGCCCUGCUUUUGUGGGGUGCUCGAGUGGCGAACGGGUGAGUAACACGUGAGUAACCUGCCCUUGACUUUGGGAUAACUUCAGGAAACUGGGGCUAAUACCGGAUAGGAGCUCCUGCUGCAUGGUGGGGGUUGGAAAGUUUCGGCGGUUGGGGAUGGACUCGCGGCUUAUCAGCUUGUUGGUGGGGUAGUGGCUUACCAAGGCUUUGGCGGGUAGCCGGCCUGAAAGGGUGACCGGCAACAUUGGGACUGAGAUACGGCCCAGACUCCUACGGGAGGCAGCAGUGGGGAAUAUUGCACAAUGGGCGGAAGCCUGAUGCAGAAACGCCGCGUGCGGGAUGACGGCCUUCGGGUUGUAAACCGCUUUCGCCUGUGACGAAGCGUGAGUGACGGUAAUGGGUAAAGAAGCACCGGCUAACUACGUG